Molecule: transfer RNA, 76 nt
Filed under: Prosthecodimorpha staleyi
Lineage: Bacteria; Pseudomonadati; Pseudomonadota; Alphaproteobacteria; Hyphomicrobiales; Ancalomicrobiaceae
Description: Hyphomicrobiaceae bacterium 22 tRNA-Ser
Source: RNAcentral
GAGCUGUGGCCGAGAGGCUGAAGGCGGCGGUUUGCUAAACCGUUUGACUGAUCCGAAUGCGAGCCGUCUGGGCUCA